Molecule: ribosomal RNA, 326 nt
Filed under: uncultured eukaryote
Lineage: Eukaryota
Description: partial 18S ribosomal RNA
Rfam family: Eukaryotic small subunit ribosomal RNA
Source: RNAcentral
CCCUUAGAUGUUCUGGGCUGCACGCGCGCUACACUGAUGCGUUCAACAAGUUGGACCUUGUCCGAGAGGAAAUCGGGGGAAUCUUUUGAAAACGUAUCGUGAUGGGGAUAGAUUAUUGUAAUUAUUAAUCUUCAACGAGGAAUUCCUAGUAAGCAUGAAUCAUCAGCUCGUGCUGAUUACGUCCCUGCCCUUUGUACACACCGCCCGUCGCUCCUACCGGUUGAGUGAUCCGGUGAAUUAACCAGAUUGUGGCGAGGGUAGUUUUCUGCUAUUGCUACGAAAAGGUUUGUGAACCUUAUCACUUAGAGGAAGGAGAAGUCGUAACA